AUGGAUUUGGGCGACAUCGUGCUCUCCUGGUCAAUCCAGGACAUCAUCAACGACGACCUCUACCGAGGGCAGGUUGAGGCUAUUCCUUGCAGCUUCACGUCACUUGAUCACUAUCUCAAAUCGUAUCGCGCACCUUUGAUUGAAGAGACAAGGUCACAUCUGUGCUCAUGCCUUGAACUCAUCAUGGAAGGACCCUCUUCGAAUAUACUCUCUAUGGAGGUAACGGAGAAACCGGAAGUGUACUAUAUAUAUGUGGACUUUUGGGAUUAUGGGGCUGCUUAUUCUACGGAGGCUCAUACCGUAAGGAAUGGUGACGUAUUUAUUUUGUCUAGCAUGAAACCUGAAGGUGCGGGGGACUUCAACCGCUAUGGCGUGACAUAUUACUUGGCAAUGGUUACUGAUGUUUGUAUGGAUGAUGAUGAUGAUGAGUGCCAGAAGCGUUUCCAAAUUAAGGUCGCAAAAGAUAUUGGUUUGGAAGAAGACUUACAGAAACUCACGUAUGCAAUAUUUCUCGGUAAUAUCAUAACAAAUUUGUGGAUAUGGAAAGCACUGAGCUUUGACAAGCACAUGAAUAACAAUUUCACAGUGAUCGAGUCUCUCUUAGCCCCCACAAAUUCGGGUGGUUAUGUCUGUCAUAUCUGUGCUAAACAUGAUGGGGAACAUUUGGCUUGUUUCACAGAGCAACUGUUACCGAUGAAUCUUAAUAGAUCGCAAAUGGAUGCUAUUGAAUCUGUCAUCUCAGCUGUAAGAUGUAGGCAUAUGAACCUCAUGAAGCUUAUACAGGGUCCACCGGGUACUGGAAAGACCCACACUGUUAGUGCUUUACUGCAGGCUUUGGCUUCUAUGAAAUGCAGAACUCUAACAUGUGCUCCCGCAAAUGUUGCUGUAAUUGGGGUUUGCACAUGUCUCCUUCAAAACUUGAAGGAAUUCAACACAAACGUUGACGAAAAUCAUUUACCCUUUUUCCUUGGAGAUGUCUUGCUAUUUGGGAACAAGUAUAAAAUGGACAUAACUGGAGAUCUUCAGGAAGUUUUCUUGGAUUUUCGUGUGAGUGAACUUGUUGAGUGCUUUUCAUCGUCGUCUGGAUGGAGCUGCAAACUAGCUUCAAUGAUAUCUUCUUUUGAAGACUGUGGUUCUCAGUAUGAUAGGCUUCUUCGGGAUGAUGGAAGUAGUGAUCCUGUGUGCAAUCUGGACUUCCUAAAGGAGCAAUUCGUGACAGCAAUAGCUCUUAGAAGUUGUAUAAAUAAAUUGUUGAUUCGCCUCCCUGGAAGGUGCUUUUCCCGUGAUAAUAUCAGCAAUAUAUCCACAUUGUUCAAUAUGCUAGAAAAAUUUGACGCCCUUCUGUGUGGUGUUGAUUUAACCGGCAAGAGCUUAAAAAGUUGUCUCUCAAGCGACAACUCAGUUUGUGUGCAGCCUAUAUCUUUUACUGAGAAGCAACUGGAUGGAAUAAGGCCCACAUGCCUUAAAUUGCUGAAGGAUCUUCAACACUCGCUUAAUUUACCUAUUGGAGUAGGCAAAAACUGGGUCCAGCGCUACUGUAUGCGUAAUGCUGUGCUUCUUUUCUGUACUACCUCUAGUUCUUACCGAUUGCAUCAUAUGGAGAUUGAACCCCUUGAUGUGUUAAUUGUCGAUGAGGCUGCACAAGUGCGAGAAUGUGAAUUGGUGAUCCCACUACGUCUGCAUCAGUUGAAACAUGUUGUUUUGCUAGGAGAUGACUGCCAGCUGAAUGCAAUGGUUAAAAGCCAGUUAUGCAAGGAAGCUGGAUUCGGAACAAGUCUUUUUCAGAGAUUGGUUAUGCUGAAUUUCGAAAAGCAUUUGCUGAAUAUACAGUACCGAAUGGAUACUUGUAUCAGCUCAUUUCCAAUUGCUCAGUUUUAUGAGAGGAAGAUUUUAGAUGGUCCAAAUGUCUUGUCUCCUUCCUAUAAUAAGGAUUACACAAGCCUCCCUUUUGGCAGCUACACUUUUAUAAGUGUCACUGAUGGAAGGGAAGACAAAGAUGGCACUGAAAACAGUUGGAGAAACAUGGCUGAAGUUGCUGUUGUUUUGUAUCUUAUCGAAAACAUCUUCAAAUCCUGGAAAGGGUCAGGCCAAGGGCUCAGUGUCGGUGUGGUCUCUCCAUAUAGCUGUCAAGUUGGUGUAAUUAAAGAUAGACUCGGUGAAAAAUACGAUACAUGUGAUGGAUUUCAUGUGAGGGUCAAGUCCAUUGAUGGUUUCCAAGGCGAAGAGGACGAUAUAAUCAUACUAUCAACUGUCAGGUCCAAUGAGAGAGGAGGUCUUGGAUUUCUUGCUGAUAACCAAAGAACAAAUGUUGCUCUUACUAGAGCAAGGCACUGCCUUUGGAUUGUUGGGAAUGCUUCUACAUUAUAUAAAAGUGGGACUGUCUGGAAAAACCUUGUUCAUGAUGCGAGAAGCCGUAACUGCAUUAUUAAUGCCAAUAAUGACGCAACCAUGUGCAAAUUGAUAUUGCACGUAAAGCAAGAACUUGAUGAACUUGACGAUCUUCUCAAUGCUGAUUCAGCAAUUUUCAGCAAUACUAGAUGGAAGGUUGUUCUUAGCGACGGAUUUAGAAAAUCUUUCAUCGGACUAAAAUCACCGCAGCUCAAGAGGGAAGUACUGCAGAAACUUGUUAAACUUGGUGGUGGUUGGAGGACAACAUUUAAGAACAUUGAUAUAUGUGAUACUUUCCAACUUGCAAAAGUAUACAAAGUCAGGGAUUUUUAUCUUAUUUGGAAUAUUGACAUGGAGAAAAAAGAAAGAAGGGUUUUCCAGAUAAUAAGAAUUUGGGACCUACUACCCCACAAGCAUGUUGCAAGAACUGUUCAACGUCUCGAAAACAUGUUUUCCAUGUACACAGAUGAUUACCUGGAUCACUGCCGAAGAGUGCAGACAGAUGGGAAACUGGAAGUUCCUGUGAUUUGGGAUGUUGAGCAUAAUAUUAUUCGCUAUAAGGACUGCACAGUUGAUGCCCAGGAAGAUCAUGAUCGCAUGGAUACAUCAUGUCUUCUGGAGAAUUUGAAAGUUAGUGAAAGCUUCUUGCUGAUGAAAUUCUACUCUUUAUCAUCUGGAGUGGCAAAACAUUUGCUGACAGCUACUGAUGGGUCUGAAAUUGAUAUUCCCUUCGAACUGACUGACGAAGAGGAUGUGAUAAUCCGAUUCCCUCAGACUAGUUUCAUACUUGGGAGGUCAGGAACUGGGAAAACCACCGUCUUGACAAUGAAACUACUUCAAAUAGAGCAAAUGUCAUUUACUGCAUCCCGGGGGCUUAACUUGGACGAAGUUGGUUUACUUGGGGCUUGUGAAAAAAAUAUUAUCACACUGAAUGACAUAAAGGAAGAAAGUUUUGUAAAACAGGUCUUCAUCACUGUAAGCCCAAAGUUAUGUUCGGCUGUAAAGAAUCAAAUUUGCAGACUUAAAAGAUUUGUCUCUGGUGAUGCCCCUGACCAGCCUAGCACCGAUAUGCAUGACAUCAUUGAUGAUAUGGAACAAUCUACAGAAAUUCCAGACAAUUUUUGUGAUCUACCUUGUGAGCACUAUCCCCUUGCUAUAACAUAUCGCAAGUUCUUGAUGAUGCUUGAUGGAACACGCCAGACAUCAUUUUUUGAUAUUUUCUAUGGUGAACUGAGGUCUAGCACUGAGAGGGGCUAUUCAAAAUCCCAUGCAUUGCAAACUUUGAUUGAACUGAAGGAAGUUACUUAUGAGAAAUUUGCUGCUUCGUACUGGCCUCAUUUUAAUGCAGACCUGACCAAGAAACUUGAUGCGUCCACUGUCUUUACUGAAAUAAUUUCUCAUAUAAAGGGCGGAUAUCAAGCAAGCAGGCCUAGUACAGGAAAACUUGAAAGAUCAGAUUAUGUGAUGCUCUCAGAUAAAAGAUUUUCAUCCUUGAACAGUGAGAAGAGAGAUAGGAUUUAUGAUAUUUUCCUUGAUUAUGAGAGCAUGAAGUGCACUGCCAGAGAAUUUGAUUUGUCUGACUUUGUGAAUAGCCUUCACAAAAGUCUAGUUUCAGAGGGCUACAAUGGCGACAUGGUGGAUUUUGUUUAUGUGGAUGAGGUGCAGGAUCUAACCAUGACACAAAUAGCACUUCUUAAGUAUGUCUGCAGGAAUUUCGACGAGGGCUUCCAUUUUGCCGGUGAUACUGCACAGACUAUCGCAAGGGGGGUUGAUUUCAGAUUUGAAGAUAUUCGCUCACUUUUUUAUACCACAUUCCUCUCAGAAACUGAAGCAUGUAAUCAAGGAAAUAAACAUGGAAAACAAUGCCAUCUCUCUGAUAUGUUUCAACUUACUCAAAAUUUUCGCACACAUUCCGGGAUUCUUCGUAUGGCCCAAAGUAUCAUUGACCUUUUGUACUUCUUUUUCCCAUCAAGUGUUGACAAGCUUAAUCCAGAGACUGGACUUGUAUAUGGAGAACCUCCUGUAGUGCUGGAGACUGGUAACGAUAAAAAUGCAAUUGUGAAUAUAUUUGGAGAAAGCAAAAGUAAGGAUGGUAACCCGCAUGGGUUUGGUGCCGAGCAAGUCAUAUUGGUUCGUGAUGAUGCUACCAAAAAACAAAUUGUUGAUCUUGUUGGUAAACAGGCCCUUGUUUUGACUAUUGUUGAAUGUAAAGGUCUUGAAUUCCAGGAUGUGCUGUUGUACAAUAUUUUCAGUUCAUCGCCUUUAAGAAACAAAUGGAGAGUUGUCUAUGGCUAUAUGAAAAACAAAAAUAUUUUAUCAUCACCUGAGGAGAUCUCUCAUCCGGAAUUCGACAGAAACAAGCACUGUCUUCUCUGUUCAGAGCUGAAGCAACUUUAUGUUGCCAUCACACGAACUAGGCAAAGAUUGUGGAUAUGUGAAACUGCAGAUGAUUACUGUAGGCCAAUGUUUGACUUCUGGAACAAGUUGUGUCUUGUAGAAGUAAGAUUACUUGAUUCUUCCUUCAUUGAAGCAAUGAAGACAGGAAGCAGCACUGAUGAUUGGAGGCGGCGGGGCACCAAGUUAUUCAAUGAGGGGCAUUUUGAGAUGGCUACAAUGUGUUUCGAAAAGGCUAAUGAUGCAUACAGAGAGAAGUGGGCAAGAGCUGCCGGACUUGUAUCAACUGCAGACAGUGUCAUGCCUAAGAAUUUGGAGCUGGGCCAGGCUUCAUUGCAAAAAGCGGCAGAGAUUUAUGAAUCUAUUGGCAUGCACGAGAAAGCUGCCAGUUGCUAUAUCAAGUUACACGACUACAAAAGAGCAGGAAUGAUGUAUAUGCAAAAUUGCAGCACUUCAAGGCUUGAGGAUGCUGGUGACUGUUUUGCUAUGACUGAAUGCUGGUCAGAAGCAGCCGAAGCGUACUUCAAAGCUAAAUGUUAUACCAAAUGUCUCUACAUGUGCUCGAAACGAAAACUAUUCAGUUUAGGGCUCCAGUUCCUACAGCAGUUGUGGGAGGAAGCUUCAGUUGAUGAGUCG
RNAcentral lists this ribosomal RNA (5418 nucleotides) under Triticum aestivum (bread wheat). RNAcentral describes it as "partial small subunit ribosomal RNA". The record is from RNAcentral. Lineage: Eukaryota; Viridiplantae; Streptophyta; Magnoliopsida; Poales; Poaceae.